GAUAGCAUAUCAAUAAGCGGAGGAAAAGAAACCAACAGGGAUUGCCCUAGUAACGGCGAGUGAAGCGGCAACAGCUCAAAUUUGAAAGCUGGCUUAGGCCCGCAUUGUAAUUUGCAGAGGAUGCUUUUGGUGAGGUGCCUUCCGAGUUCCCUGGAACGGGACGCCAUAGAGGGUGAGAGCCCCGUAUGGAUGGACACCAAACCUGUGUAAAGCUCCUUCAACGAGUCGAGUAGUUUGGGAAUGCUGCUCAAAAUGGGAGGUAAAUCUCUUCUAAAGCUAAAUACCGGCCAGAGACCGAUAGCGCACAAGUAGAGUGAUCGAAAGAUGAAAAGCACCUUGAAAAGGGGGUUAAACAGUACGUGAAAUUGUUGAAAGGGAAGCGCUUGUGACCAGACUUGCGCCGGGCAGCUCAUCAGGGGUUCUCCCCUGUGCACUCUGCCCGGCUCAGGCCAGCAUCGGUUCUCGUGGGAGGAUAAGAACAGUAGGAAUGUGGCCCCCUCUCGGGGGGGUGUUAUAGCCUAUUGUACGAUACUCUCGUGGGGACCGAGGUUCGCGCUCCGCAAGGAUGCUGGCGUAAUGGUCAUCAGCGACCCGUCUUGAAACACGGACCAAGGAGUCGUCCAUUAGAGCGAGCGUUUGGGUGUAAAACCCGCACGCGUAAUGAAAGUGAACGCAGGUGAGAGCUUCGGCGCAUCAUCGACCGAUCCUGAUGUCUUCGGAUGGAUUUGAGUAAGAGUUUUAACGGACGGACCCGAAAGACAGUGAACUAUGCUUGUAUAGGGUGAAGCCAGAGGAAACUCUGGUGGAGGCUCGCAGCGGUUCUGACGUGCAAAUCGAUCGUCAAAUAUGAGCAUGGGGGCGAAAG
RNAcentral lists this ribosomal RNA (865 nucleotides) under Cytospora pubescentis. RNAcentral's name for it is "Cytospora sp. QS-2018d partial large subunit ribosomal RNA". It matches the Rfam family "Eukaryotic large subunit ribosomal RNA", at positions 33 to 929 of the family's 3401-position model. Lineage: Eukaryota; Fungi; Ascomycota; Sordariomycetes; Diaporthales; Cytosporaceae. The record is from RNAcentral.